CCCGGAGCGGCGGAGCGCGGCGGGGCUGGGUGUGCCCGGCCGGGGAGCUGCCUCCCGCCGCAGACAGAGGCAGGGGGUCGGGGAAAGCGCCAUGUCCCGCGGCUGUCCCGCGGUUGUACCGCGGUCCCCGUCAGGCUCCGAGGCGCCCUGACGGCCCGGUCCCGCCGCCCGCAGCCCAGUGCGGAGAGGGCAGCGGGGUCUGCCAGAGCCCGAGAUCUGCUGGGAUCGACUCGGCGUGGGCACAGCGAGCCACGCUCCGCUCCCGGGCGAUGUCACGGGUUUAAGUUUGUUGCCUUUGCUACUGAGAACAUCUAGUAUAGGGUGUGAAGAUUCAAACUGGAGGGAAGUCAAAGAAGCCCGGAUCACAGGAAGAAUGGAAAUUAUAAACACCAGAGACUGGAAGAAGAGCUGAGGAUUAUUUGGAGCAAGAAUGUGGAAAUGUAACAAAUGCAGUAUGUGCAGAAAAUUUUGGGCAGAGAAGAGUAGGAUCUCAGCAGAGAGAGAGCCAAAACUGAUACAGGCCAUAGGAAAAAGGGAUUUGUGAUGCCAUGGCCAUCAGCUGCCCAGGCACCUGCAGGUGACUCAAGUCUCUGUUCAUGAUUCUAUCAGACAACUGGGGUGAAACCUUACAACAGCUGUAGGGGUCAAAUCCUUUAUGUAAGGACGGGUGCGUCUCUUCCCUGGUGUUGGGUCACUCACAUUAGAAGGUUCUUGUUUAUGGUGUGUUGGCCCUAUCUGGCUGCCAGCCUCACCAAUAGCCUCUGGCCACUCCCUCCCUACAGCAGGAUGUGGGCAAAUUUGUGGGAACAUGAGUGAGGAAGCUUGUGGGUGUAGAUACAGGCAGGGAGAUGGUUUGCCAAUUGCCGUCACAGGCAAAAUAGACCCAGCUUAGGGUAAUUUAACAAUUUAUUGCCAAUUAAUGUUUUGAAUUCCUGAUUUGGUAACGGGGAAGCAGAGAUGGAAGAAGCAAGUGCUAGAACACCUUUCCCCAUCCACUGGUCUUGACAUCCAUCUGCCCUUUCUCACUCUUUUUCUCCCCAUGCACUCCUGCCCAGAUGGUGGUAUCUCCCCUUUUGUCCAUACCUGCUCCUUGAGGGGAUGGGAAUGGUGGGCUGGAUCCAGCAGUGUAGAGCAAUGUUGCUGCACAGGAGAACAUCCCAGACUUCAGCAAUACACAGGCCAAGGUCUCCCUGGCAGCCUCAGUGUGCCCCUGGUUUGAGGUGAUGCUCGAGGAUGCAGUGAAUAUCUUGCCUGGACUUGCCAGAGGAGGAAAGAGGGGAUGGUGCAGGUGCCUCUUCAAAUUGUGGAAGAAGCUGGAAGAGGUGCUGUGAAGCACUGUGCUGGAGGGAAGGGAACUGUGGGGAUUGAGCCUGGCCACACCUGUGAUGGUAUGGGGAGAACAGGACAGCAUCCUCCUGCAGCAGAUAGAAUACAAACAUUCUGCUUUGUGUUCCUUUACUGCUUUGUGUUGCUUAAUAAAAACCUGUACUUUGCUU
Long non-coding RNA from Taeniopygia guttata (zebra finch), 1496 nucleotides. RefSeq lists it as uncharacterized. The record is from RefSeq and is a predicted model, not a curated record. NCBI's taxonomy places the organism in Eukaryota, Metazoa, Chordata, Aves, Passeriformes, Estrildidae.